Molecule: long non-coding RNA, 628 nt
Organism: Marmota flaviventris (yellow-bellied marmot)
Lineage: Eukaryota; Metazoa; Chordata; Mammalia; Rodentia; Sciuridae
Source: RefSeq, a predicted model, not a curated record
UUCCUCUCUCCCUCGGUUCCUCUUGCCCUGCAGCCGUUUAAACUGGGAAAGAAGAAGAAAAUGCAGGAGUUAAGAACCCAGAAAAAUGGCAAGUCACCCGAGUCAGAGAUGUGCCUGGAGGGGAGCGUGGAGCAAGGGGAAUUAAAGCACCCCAAAACUUCAGUAAGACCCAGGUCCUGAUCUGAACAUUAGUGAUGCCUCCAAGCUUGCUCUACCUACUAAAAACUGAAUGUGACCACUGAACGGGUACCCAACUGCCCCUAGGCUGAGGAGCAAUAGGGUCUAACGACUCACUCUGCACUUGCCAAGAGGCUGUGGAAGAACACAACAUCAACAACAGGCAGAAGUGUGCACAGCGACGGACUCCUUUCUAGAGGAAGGGUCUCACUAAGUUGCCCAGGCCAACCUCAAACUUGUGAUCCACCUACCUCAGCCGCCCAAGUGGCUGGGAGACUACCAUGCCCAUCUAAGAACCUCCACCGAGAGGUUGGCGAUUCCCGCGUCUAGAUCCCUUCUACUAAGCGGUGACUUCCCUACCAAAAGGAUAGUGCUUUGAAUCUUGAAUGUGGUUCUGACAGCUGCAGGACACAAAAAAAAGUCAUGUGUGCUUUGUUAACUUACUGCUUCG